GGAAGGUGCAAGCGUUAAUCGGAAUUACUGGGCGUAAAGCGCGCGUAGGCGGCUAGAUAAGUCGGGUGUGAAAGCCCCGGGCUCAACCUGGGAACUGCAUUCGAUACUGUCUGGCUAGAGUGUAAUAGAGGGAUGCGGAAUUCCGCAUGUAGCGGUGAAAUGCGUAGAGAUGCGGAGGAACACCAAUGGCGAAGGCAGCCUCCUGGAUUAACACUGACGCUGAGGUGCGAAAGCGUGGGGGGGAGCAAACAGGAUUAGAUACCCUGGUAGUCCACGCCGUAAACGAUGUCAACUAGCCGUUGGGGGCACUUUGGCCCCUAGUGGCGCAGCUAACGCGAUAAGUUGACCGCCUGGGAGUACGGUCGCAAGAUUA
RNAcentral lists this ribosomal RNA (373 nucleotides) under uncultured organism. RNAcentral describes it as "partial 16S ribosomal RNA". It matches the Rfam family "Bacterial small subunit ribosomal RNA", at positions 527 to 896 of the family's 1533-position model. The record is from RNAcentral.